This is an RNA transcript of Abrus precatorius (Indian licorice), 2220 nucleotides long. It is a transcript of the gene named embryogenesis-associated protein EMB8-like, with no coding region annotated. The transcript is spliced from 12 exons. Lineage: Eukaryota; Viridiplantae; Streptophyta; Magnoliopsida; Fabales; Fabaceae. The record is from RefSeq and is a predicted model, not a curated record.
CGCGCUUUCGCAGGUCAAUAAUGGCGAUUCCCGAUUCCCAUUUUAGCUGGAAAAAAAAAAAAACGAAGAACAUGUUCAUAACGAUGGAAAAACGAUUAUUAAAACGUGAUUCUUCAGAUGCUCUUGAAGUGUCACGAGCAGGUUUCAGAGUGAUCGUUUUUUUUAUUUACUUCCCGCUCUCAUCACUUCUCACUUCACUCCUAACUUCACUUCCGGUUCCAUGGAUCGCUUUUGCUCAAACCUCGAAGACGAUUCACCAUCCUCUUCCAAUGUCUAUUGGCUCCUCUUCCAAGUCCUCUCUCUCAUUCCUCUCUGGCAUUACCUUCUCUUCGCCGUUUUUAUUCUCCUUUCAUUUCUCUACAAUUUCCUCGAACUCCAUUUCCUCGAAAAUCUCUUCUCUGGAUUCUCAGGCUCCCCUGUUUCUCUCACCUACAACCACUCCUCUAAAAUCCACGAAGCCGUUGUUUCGAAAUGUAAGAUACUUCAUGGAAGGUACUUUGCGACGCCGUGGCUUUGCAGUCCUCAUCUUCAGACUCUUUUCUUGAACUACUUCGGGAGGCCUCCUAUUUUCAAAUACACAAGACAAAUAUUUAGGACUCAAGAUGGUGGAACCAUUGCUUUGGAUUGGCUGUCGAGUUCUGAUGUUUCUGGUGGUGCUUGUCAUCUGGAUGAUGUUGCUUCUAAAGAUGAAUCUACUCCAAUUGUUGUAGUAAUUCCUGGUCUUACAAGUGACUCUUCUUCUGCUUAUAUCAAGCAUUUUGCUUAUCAUACAACAAAGCGUGGAUGGAAAGUUGUUAUCUGUAACCACCGAGGAUUCGGAGGUGUUCCAAUCACGUCUAAUUUUUCCUACAAUGCUGGAUGGACUGAGGAUGUCCGCACAGUGGUCAAUUAUCUCCACAAAGAGAAAUCCGGGGCACCUUUGUUUCUUGUUGGAACUAGUAUUGGAGCUAAUAUUCUGGUAAAAUAUCUUGGUGAGGAUGGUGAGAAUAUUCCUGUAGCUGGAGCUGUUGCUGUUUGCUCUCCUUGGGACCUUAUGUUAGGGGACAGAUUUAUUCGUCGUAGGCGUGUGCAGAAACUUUAUGAUAGUGCGCUUGCCGUUGGACUUCAAGAUUAUGCAAAAUUGCACCAGCCUCACUUCUCUCGCAAUGCUAAUUGGGAAGGGAUAGAAAAGUCACUUUCUGUUCGAGAUUUUGAUGACCAUGCAACCCGCAUUGUUGGGAAAUAUGAGUCUGUUGAUACGUACUAUAGACGCUGCAGCAGUUCUGCUUAUGUGCAAUCUGUUUCGAUUCCGCUUCUAUGUAUUACUGCUCUGGAUGAUCCAAUCUGUACUACGGAAGCCAUUCCCUGGGACGAAUGCAAGGCAAAUAAAAAUAUAGUGUUAGCUACUGUAAAUCAUGGAGGACAUCUGGCGUUCUAUGAAGGGAUAACUGCGUCUGGGCUGUGGUAACAAGUCAUUUUGUACAUCUGACAUUUCAGCAUUUUCUUUCAUUCAAAAACCAUAUGCAUUUAGCUGUCCUAUUAUUGCAAUUUUUUUGUUGGGAUUGGGGGAUAUUCUUUGAUUGGUUCAAGUUGCAAUAGCAUGCAUGCAUGGCAUCUCCUAAUUUUGAAUCAGGCAGCCACUUUUAUAAUAAAAUUGAAGGGCAAUAUUACUUUCUCUUGCAGGUGGGUAAGGGCUGCUAAUGAAUUCCUUGGGAUAAUACACAGCAGCAAUUAUAUGCAUGUACCAAAAAAGAGCAACUUUGUUGGCUGAACAUGCUGUUUUCUCUGUUAACGGGGAUGCAGAUUUCUAAACCAAAUGGACCAUUGGACUUGUCAAUUGAUCGGGGCCCUUAUGUUAAUGUUACUGAAGGUGGAAUGGUAGCUGCAUUGAACAGUGACCCUCCGACAGACAAUGUGGAAGAUACACAUGUAAUCCAGGAUGCACAUCAUGACAGUCAUGAAUGAGUUCCAACAGAAACUCUUAAUGAACAAGAUGAGCUUGUGACUAACUCAUGCUUAUAAUGCGGUGAAUCCUAUCGUUUUGGACAAACAGUCAGCGUGUGUUUGGAUGGCAUCAAAUCCACCCAAGCAUGAAUGCAUUUAAAUGCUACAUGUUAUAUUUUUUUCGUUAAUACAUGAUUUUGUUCAAACACGUGCUUAGUUCCAACAAUGUAGCUCAUCUUGAUUUAUAAGAUACUAUAAGACAGUAUAGCUUGAGUAAGAACAAAGAUCUAUUACAGU